Pelobates cultripes (western spadefoot toad) is the source of this 82-nucleotide non-coding RNA. NCBI's taxonomy places the organism in Eukaryota, Metazoa, Chordata, Amphibia, Anura, Pelobatidae. The record is from the annotation of a GenBank genome assembly.
UUGUAUAGUGUGUGCAUAUAAUGCAGUGUGUGUGUAGUGUGCAUUAUAUAAACACACUGCAUUAUAUACACACACUAUACAA